AACGAACGCUGGCGGCAUGCCUAACACAUGCAAGUCGAACGAGACCUUCGGGUCUAGUGGCGCACGGGUGCGUAACGCGUGGGAACCUGCCCUUAGGUUCGGAAUAACUCCCCGAAAGGGGUGCUAAUACCGGAAAAUGUCUUCGGACCAAAGAUUUAUCGCCUUUGGAUAGGCCCGCGUUGGUUUAGCUAGUUGGUAGGGUAAAAGCCUACCAAGGCGACGAUCCAUAGCUGGUCUGAGAGGAUGAUCAGCCACACUGGGACUGAGCCACGGCCCAGACUCCUGCGGGAGGCAGCAGUGGGGAAUAUUGGACAAUGGGCGAAAGCCUGAUCCAGCAAUGCCGCGUGAGUGAUGAAGGCCUUAGGGUUGUAAAGCUCUUUUACCCGGGAUGAUAAUGACAGUACCGGGAGAAUAAGCUCCGGCUAACUCCGUG
This 433-nucleotide ribosomal RNA is filed under the name uncultured bacterium. RNAcentral describes it as "partial 16S ribosomal RNA". It matches the Rfam family "Bacterial small subunit ribosomal RNA", at positions 29 to 507 of the family's 1533-position model. The record is from RNAcentral.